This 245-nucleotide ribosomal RNA is filed under the name uncultured bacterium. Its description in RNAcentral is "partial 16S ribosomal RNA". It matches the Rfam family "Bacterial small subunit ribosomal RNA", at positions 524 to 768 of the family's 1533-position model. The record is from RNAcentral.
UACGUAGGGGGCAAGCGUUGUCCGGAAUGACUGGGCGUAAAGCGCGCGCAGGCGGUUUUCUGCGUCUGAGGUGAAAGUUCAGGGCUCAACCCUGAGAUGGCCUUGGAAACGAGAGAACUUGAGGGUCGGAGAGGUCAGGGGAAUUCCACGUGUAGCGGUGAAAUGCGUAGAGAUGUGGAGGAAUACCAGUGGCGAAGGCGCCUGACUGGACGAAACCUGACGCUGAGGCGCGAAGGCGUGGGGAG